RNAcentral lists this long non-coding RNA (845 nucleotides) under Homo sapiens (human). RNAcentral describes it as "HSALNT0290750". The record is from RNAcentral. Lineage: Eukaryota; Metazoa; Chordata; Mammalia; Primates; Hominidae.
AAGUUUACAGCAAGUAUUUAGUCAUUGAGCUAUCAUUCAAAUCAUAAUAACUAGUCUUUACAAAAUAGAGCCCCAAAGUGCUAUAGAUAAAAGGUUUUCAUUUUGCUUUGCUUUUUAACUUUGGUGUUGUCUCUUUUCCUUUCUUUCUUCUCCCCUCAUCUUCUCUCUACCCUAUGGUCUGUUUUGGAUUUUUCUCGUUAUAUAUAAGCUUUAACUUUUGCUUUUCUUCUUUUUUUCUCCCCCUUUCUUUUUGAAUGGUUUUAGCAUCCUUGGGCGCAGAAAACUCUGGAAAUGUAUUCAUAAGUUUAGAAAUUAUAUAAGACACUUCAGAAUGAUAAUACUUAAUUAUUUUAGAAAUUUCCAUUUUGAAUUAUAUUGUUUAGGGGGAGGGCUAUUAAAGUGUUCUCUGCCAAUUUAUGAUACAUUUUAGAUUUCCCAGUUUUUUUCUGGAUAUCUGUCAGGAGAUGGUGUAGAGGUUUGGUAAGUAAUACAGUUUGAUUUUGUAUGUCUCAAGGGUUACUCAUUCAGUCACAUAUUUGAGUUUAUUUUAUUCUGGCCUUUUUCCCCUCUGGGGAUUCUAUUUAUAGUAUUAAUUGAAAAUCUUUAUGUUAAUGCUAAUUUUGAUUUUUUUUUCCACUAGCAUGUAUUGGAGCACUCAGGCUUGAAGAAGGACAUAGAGCCCUUAUUGGAUUUAAGCCCCAUAUCAUAUCUCACAUACCUGAGACAGACAUACCACAGUGAACCCUGCAUGUCCUUGUAAGUUCUUUUCCGUGCCUAGAAGUUGCAGAAGACCAAGGAACCUUGGAAGUGACUUACUCUUUUGCUUCAUAAAGUUGCUUUAAAAC